AGCAGCCGCGGUAAUUCCAGCUCCAAUAGCGUAUAUUAAAGUUGUUGCAGUUAAAAAGCUCGUAGUUGAACUUCAGGCCUGGCUGGACGGUCCGCCCUCUGGGUGAGCACUGUCUGUGGUCGGGUCCUACCUUCUGGCGAAGCGGCAUGGCCUUAACCGGCCGUGGCGGGGAACCAGGACUUUUACUGUGAAAAAAUUGAGUGUUCAAAGCAGGCACGCGCUUGAAUACAUUAGCAUGGAAUAAUGGAAUAGGACAAUGGUUCUAUUUGUUGGUUUCUAGGACCGUUGUAAUGAUUAAUAGGGAUAGUUGGGGGCAUUAGUAUUCAAUUGUCAGAGGUGAAAUUCUUGGAUUUAUUGAAGACUAACUACUGCGAAAGCAUUUGCCAAGGAUGUUUUCAUUAANCAAGAACGAAAGUUAGGGAUCGAAGACGAUCAGAUACCGUCGUAGUCUUAACCAUAAACUAUGACCGACUAGGAAUCGGGGCGAAUGUUAGAACAAAUGAACGCGCGUCCGGCACCU
Molecule: ribosomal RNA, 520 nt
Filed under: uncultured Paraglomus
Lineage: Eukaryota; Fungi; Glomeromycota; Glomeromycetes; Paraglomerales; Paraglomeraceae
Description: SSU rRNA
Rfam family: Eukaryotic small subunit ribosomal RNA
Source: RNAcentral